This 22-nucleotide microRNA is filed under the name Oryctolagus cuniculus (rabbit). RNAcentral describes it as "ocu-miR-500-3p". Its record names the gene ocu-miR-500-3p. The record is from miRBase by way of RNAcentral. Lineage: Eukaryota; Metazoa; Chordata; Mammalia; Lagomorpha; Leporidae.
AUGCACCUGGGCAAGGAUUCAG